Molecule: ribosomal RNA, 397 nt
Filed under: uncultured bacterium
Lineage: Bacteria
Description: partial 16S ribosomal RNA
Rfam family: Bacterial small subunit ribosomal RNA
Source: RNAcentral
AUACGUAGGGGGCGAGCGUUGUCCGGAAUGAUUGGGCGUAGAGGGCGCGUAGGCGGCCUGUUAAGUCUGGAGUGAAAGUCCUGUUUUCAAGAUGGGAAUUGCUUUGGAUACUGAUGGGCUUGAGUGCAGGAGAGGUUAUCGGAAUUCCCGGUGUAGCGGUGAAAUGCGUAGAGAUCGGGAGGAACACCAGUGGCGAAGGCGGGUAACUGGACUGCAACUGACGCUGAGGCGCGAAAGUGUGGGGAGCAAACAGGAUUAGAUACCCUGGUAGUCCACACUGUAAACGAUGAAUGCUAGGUGUAAGAGGUAUCGACCCCUUUUGUGCCGGAGUUAACACAAUAAGCAUUCCGCCUGGGGAGUACGGCCGCAAGGUUGAAACUCAAAUGAAUUGACGGGG